This 500-nucleotide ribosomal RNA is filed under the name uncultured bacterium. Its description in RNAcentral is "partial 16S ribosomal RNA". It matches the Rfam family "Bacterial small subunit ribosomal RNA", at positions 30 to 523 of the family's 1533-position model. The record is from RNAcentral.
AUUGAACGCUGGCGGCAGGCUUAACACAUGCAAGUCGAGCGGAGUGAUGGUGCUUGCACUAUCACUUAGCGGCGGACGGGUGAGUAAUGCUUAGGAAUCUGCCUAUUAGUGGGGGACAACAUUCCGAAAGGAAUGCUAAUACCGCAUACGUCCUACGGGAGAAAGCAGGGGAUCUUCGGACCUUGCGCUAAUAGAUGAGCCUAAGUCGGGUUAGCUAGUUGGUGGGGUAAAGGCCUACCAAGGCGACGAUCAGUAGCGGGUCUGAGAGGAUGAUCCGCCACACUGGGACUGAGACACGGCCCAGACUCCUACGGGAGGCAGCAGUGGGGAAUAUUGGACAAUGGGGGAAACCCUGAUCCAGCCAUGCCGCGUGUGUGAAGAAGGCCUAUGGUUGUAAAGCACUUUAAGCGAGGAGGAGGCUACUGAGACUAAUACUCUUGGAUAGUGGACGUUACUCGCAGAAUAAGCACCGGCUAACUCUGUGCCAGCCGCCGCGGUAA